Long non-coding RNA from Manihot esculenta (cassava), 711 nucleotides. RefSeq lists it as uncharacterized. The record is from RefSeq and is a predicted model, not a curated record. Lineage: Eukaryota; Viridiplantae; Streptophyta; Magnoliopsida; Malpighiales; Euphorbiaceae. The transcript has 3 exons.
AUAACGCACAAAGGUUACCGCAGAUUCUAGGUUAAGACCUUUAUUUAUUUAGAUCGGGCGGUCAUUAGAGCUAAACAGAAAGUUUCCAGAAAAGCCCUGCUACUUCUGAAAGAUCCCAACACGUAUUACAGGCCAUCCGUCUCACUCUGUAACUCCUGUUCCCUCCAUGCCCUCGUUCUGGCCCAUGCCGCUGAACAUAUUACACAGAUGAAUGGUGAACUCAUCGGCGGUGAACAACCAUCCUCUGUCCAGUUACUCAUUUGGCACAAAAGAACCGAAAAUGGAGAAAGAUGUCUCCGCCGCUGAUCGUGUCGUUGCAUGAAAGCCUAGUACAAGAGCAUGCUCAUUCUCACAUUCUUCAAUUGGAAACACAUUCUGCAGACUGCUGGGUAGGCGACUAAAGCCAGGAGAGAAUGAAAUUGAAGGUUUGGAAAGAAAACUGACCAGCAAGCUUGGUGCUAAUUCACUUGCACUGGUGCCAGAUUGGUAGGUAUUUCUUUCCUCUUUUACUCUAGUCCUGAGUCAUGGCAUAAACCAAAGACGAUGAGUCUAAUAUGAGUAGAGGAAGCCUAUAAAAAAUAAGUCCCAAAAAGAUGGGCAGUAGAGAGAAAAAAAAAAGGUAUAUAAAACAUAUGCUUAUUGUUGGAUGUCAUGUUCUCUUUGCUUUCUAUAUACUGAGUGAAUUGGAUAUUUGAUGUUUAUUUUUUGUCA